This 465-nucleotide ribosomal RNA is filed under the name uncultured bacterium. Its description in RNAcentral is "partial 16S ribosomal RNA". It matches the Rfam family "Bacterial small subunit ribosomal RNA", at positions 28 to 507 of the family's 1533-position model. The record is from RNAcentral.
GACGAACGCUGGCGGCGUGCUUAACACAUGCAAGUCGGACGGUAAGGCCCUUUCGGGGGUACACGAGUGGCGAACGGGUGAGUAACACGUGAGUAACCUGCCCACAACUUUGGGAUAACGCUAGGAAACUGGUGCUAAUACUGGAUAUGUGCCCCUGCUGCAUGGUGGGGGUUGGAAAGCUCCGGCGGUUGUGGAUGGACUCGCGGCCUAUCAGCUUGUUGGUGGGGUAGUGGCCUACCAAGGCGGCGACGGGUAGCCGGCCUGAGAGGGUGACCGGCCACAUUGGGACUGAGAUACGGCCCAGGCUCCUACGGGAGGCAGCAGUGGGGAAUAUUGCACAAUGGGCGCAAGCCUGAUGCAGCAACGCCGCGUGCGGGAUGACGGCCUUCGGGUUGUAAACCGCUUUCAGCAGGGACGAAGCUUUUUGUGACGGUACCUGCAGAAGAAGCACCGGCUAACUACGUG